RNAcentral lists this long non-coding RNA (2105 nucleotides) under Mytilus galloprovincialis (Mediterranean mussel). The record is from RNAcentral. Lineage: Eukaryota; Metazoa; Mollusca; Bivalvia; Mytilida; Mytilidae.
UAAAACCCUGAAUGAAAUUUUUUUUUUCCCGAUAGGCCUAAAAUAAUUAAUUGCUUUACAUGCAAGAAAAUAAAUUUUUAUCUAUUAUGUGGUAAAUUUUAGGCAACAGUUUAUCAAACAGUUUAUGAUCAAUUUUUAUUUCUUAUUUGACAAGAAGAAAACUAAUUUUUUUCAUGACAGACCUUUAGUUUAACUCCUAACUCUUUAAUUUUUUAAUGUAAAUUAUUCAUAUUCAACCUCCAUAUUUGUUUUUAAUUUGUAACACUUCAAGCAAAAUAAGACUCAAUUUCAUAUCAGAAGCUGAAAACUAUUGAUUGUUUUUUUACCCUUUACUAUAAUAGUCAUAGUUUUAACAACAACAAAAAACAUCAAAAUGUUCAUUUAUGAUUGAAAAAUAUUUCUGAGACCAAAUGUUAACUUAAUUAUUUAUUCAUUUUAUUCCAAAAGCUUGUUGGGUUGAUGCCUCAGUGACCUUUAUUCAUACUAACAUCAUGAUAUUUUCACAUUUAAAUUGCUUAAUUGAAUUUUACAAAGUGAGAUAAGGAUACUUUCACAAUUUUAUUUUAAUGUGUGGUUUUAUCAAGGGACGUUGUUGCAUCAAAUCAUUAUUGAAUUGCUGAUCUGUUAAAAUUGUAAAUAGCCUCAUUAUAUGAACUGUGAUAUUUUUUUACAAUUACUAGUCAUCAUUUUAGAAAUGUUACAUUAGAACUACAUGUAUUAACAUAUAUCCUACAAUCACUGGAAAGUCAUUAUCCAUAAAAUAUUGUUAUGAACAACAAACUGUUAUAAAUACUACAGAAUAGUCAAUUGCUUAAUUUUGUCAACUCAAGAACAUUUAUCAAUUUGAAAAAAAAAUGAAUUAACACACAGUUUUGCAAAUAUUUCUUCAGCAAAUUAAGUCUAAGAAAAGAGUCACUUUACGAGUCCAUGCCCUAUUGGAACAUUUAAAAGGAUUGUGACAUAUACAAUUCAUAUAUAUUUAAUUUGUAAAUUUAUAAUAUAUUUGUAAUUGAUUUAUAAUAUAGGUAGAAAACUACUUUCCAAAGUAUGAUGUAUUAUAGAUUUUUAACAAAACAAUUUUUAAUGUUGUGAUAUUGAUAUUUUUAUGCAUGCAAAUAAAAUUUAAAAUAUAUAAAUGUUACAAAUAUACAUGUGUCUAUCAAAAAUUUAAUUUGAUCAUUCAUGUCUGGUAGUAGUCUUGAGUACCCUAAAGAAAAAAAAUUAAGCAAGCUAUUUUUUUUCUCAAAACUAUUAAUCAAGACAAUGCAAGUUAACAACCAGAUGAAGGAAUUUUUGAUUGCAACACAUGACAAUAAUUCACUUGUACUUUGAUACGGGUUCUGUUACCUGGCAGCAGAGGCGAAUUUAGGGAGGAGCCACCAGGCCCCCUUUUUGGGAAAAAAUUUGGUUGCUUAUAUAGGGAAUCACUGAAGCGUGACUGGAGCGGGCCCCCACUUAUUAAAAGUUUCUAGAUCCGCCAGUGGGCAGUACAUUCAUUAAAGUAUCUAACGUCUUCAAACUUCAUUUUGUUUUAUAUUCUUCAUCAAUUAACUUCCAUAACACAUUGACAGUUUACUUUGUUUGCAGAUCAAAAUUGUUUUAUACUUAAGAAGGUGAAUAAAUGGAUUAAUGAUUGUAUUAACAAAGAAUAUGUCAUAAUGGACUAUCAUAAUAUUAAUGACAAAUUCAAUGUGUGAUGUUAUCAGAUAAUUCAAAACCAAAGAUAAUUAUAUUUAAUGUACUUAUGCACCAUAAGUGUAAAACAUGUACAGAGUUGUGAAAUAAAUAUUUAUGAUUCAUAGAUAGUGUUUUCUCUUUGUAUCACUGUUUCAAAUUCAUAAGAGUAACACAAUUCUAAGGAAAAAUAACUUAAAUGACAUUACUGACUACAUACUACAUACUACAUGUAACAUGGCACCAAACCCUCCCCUUAACCUGGGAUAAUAGUCUAUUACAAAUAACCAAUUUUUACUUGGUCAAGUCUGCAAAAUACUUUAUAUUUCUAUUAAUCAAACUUCCCUAAGAAUAUUUUAGGUUGACCAUGGAAGUAUUAUUGAAAGGAAUAAGCACGUCAUCACUUCAAAGGUUUCAUCUGCGUUACAGCC